RNAcentral lists this ribosomal RNA (1465 nucleotides) under Prochlorococcus sp. AG-409-P01. Its description in RNAcentral is "bacterial SSU rRNA". It matches the Rfam family "Bacterial small subunit ribosomal RNA". The record is from RNAcentral. Lineage: Bacteria; Bacillati; Cyanobacteriota; Cyanophyceae; Synechococcales; Prochlorococcaceae.
AGAGUUUGAUCCUGGCUCAGGAUGAACGCUGGCGGCGUGCUUAACACAUGCAAGUCGAACGAACCUUCGGGUUAGUGGCGGACGGGUGAGUAACGCGUGGGAAUCUGCCCUCAGGAGGGGGAUAACGGCUGGAAACGGCCGCUAAUACCCCAUAUGCCGAGAGGUGAAAUGAAUUUCGCCUGAGGAUGAGCCCGCGUCUGAUUAGCUAGUUGGUGAGGUAAUGGCUCACCAAGGCUUCGAUCAGUAGCUGGUCUGAGAGGAUGAUCAGCCACACUGGGACUGAGACACGGCCCAGACUCCUACGGGAGGCAGCAGUGGGGAAUUUUCCGCAAUGGGCGAAAGCCUGACGGAGCAACGCCGCGUGAGGGAUGAAGGCCUCUGGGCUGUAAACCUCUUUUCUCAAGGAAGAAGAUAUGACGGUACUUGAGGAAUAAGCCACGGCUAAUUCCGUGCCAGCAGCCGCGGUAAUACGGGAGUGGCAAGCGUUAUCCGGAAUUAUUGGGCGUAAAGCGUCCGCAGGCGGCCUUUCAAGUCUGCUGUUAAAGCGUGGAGCUUAACUCCAUCAUGGCAGUGGAAACUGUUGGGCUUGAGUGUGGUAGGGGCAGAGGGAAUUCCCGGUGUAGCGGUGAAAUGCGUAGAUAUCGGGAAGAACACCAGUGGCGAAGGCGCUCUGCUGGGCCAUAACUGACGCUCAUGGACGAAAGCCAGGGGAGCGAAAGGGAUUAGAUACCCCUGUAGUCCUGGCCGUAAACGAUGAACACUAGGUGUCGGGGGAAUCGACCCCCUCGGUGUCGUAGCCAACGCGUUAAGUGUUCCGCCUGGGGAGUACGCACGCAAGUGUGAAACUCAAAGGAAUUGACGGGGGCCCGCACAAGCGGUGGAGUAUGUGGUUUAAUUCGAUGCAACGCGAAGAACCUUACCAGGGUUUGACAUCCUGCGAACCUCUAAGAAAUUAGAGGGUGCCUUCGGGAACGCAGUGACAGGUGGUGCAUGGCUGUCGUCAGCUCGUGUCGUGAGAUGUUGGGUUAAGUCCCGCAACGAGCGCAACCCACGUUUUUAGUUGCCAGCAUUCAGUUGGGCACUCUAGAGAGACCGCCGGUGAUAAACCGGAGGAAGGUGUGGAUGACGUCAAGUCAUCAUGCCCCUUACAUCCUGGGCUACACACGUACUACAAUGCUACGGACAAAGGGCAGCAAACUCGCGAGGGCAAGCAAAUCCCAUAAACCGUGGCUCAGUUCAGAUCGUAGGCUGCAACUCGCCUACGUGAAGGAGGAAUCGCUAGUAAUCGCAGGUCAGCAUACUGCGGUGAAUACGUUCCCGGGCCUUGUACACACCGCCCGUCACACCAUGGAAGUUGGCCACGCCCGAAGUCGUUACUCCAACCCUUGUGGAGGAGGACGCCGAAGGUGGGGCUGAUGACUGGGGUGAAGUCGUAACAAGGUAGCCGUACCGGAAGGUGCGGCUG